This 431-nucleotide unclassified non-coding RNA is filed under the name soil metagenome. RNAcentral describes it as "partial contains 5.8S ribosomal RNA, internal transcribed spacer 2, and large subunit ribosomal RNA". The stretch from base 1 to 119 matches the Rfam family "5.8S ribosomal RNA", at positions 36 to 154 of the family's 154-position model. The record is from RNAcentral.
AUGAAGAACGCAGCGAAAUGCGAUACGUAAUGUGAAUUGCAGAAUUCAGUGAAUCAUCGAAUCUUUGAACGCAUAUUGCGCUCUCUGGUAUUCCGGAGAGCAUGCUUGUUUGAGUAUCAGUAAACACCUCAACUUCCAUAUCUUUUUUGAAAUGGGAGUUGGACUUGAGUGAUCCCAACGCUUUUCCUCACCGAAAAGUGGCGGGUUACUUGAAAUGCAGGUGCAGCUGGACUUUUCUCUGAGCUAUAAGCAUAUCUAUUUAGUCUGCCUAAAAAACAGAUUAUUACCUUUGCUGCAGCUAACAUAAAGGAGAUUAGUUCUUGUUCUGACUGAUGCAGGAUUCACAAAGACGGCUUCGGCCGACUUUGUAAACUCGAUCUCAAAUCAAGUAAGACUACCCGCUGAACUUAAGCAUAUCAAUAAGCGGAGGA